GGGUUCGAUUCCGGAGAGGGAGCCUGAGAAACGGCUACCACAUCCAAGGAAGGCAGCAGGCGCGCAAAUUACCCAAUCCCAAUACGGGGAGGUAGUGACAAUAAAUAACAAUAUGGGGCUCUUACGGGUCUCGUAAUUGGAAUGAGUACAAUUUAAAUCUCUUAACGAGGAACAAUUGGAGGGCAAGUCUGGUGCCAGCAGCCGCGGUAAUUCCAGCUCCAAUAGCGUAUAUUAAAGUUGUUGCAGUUAAAAAGCUCGUAGUUGAAUUUCGGAGUUUGUCGGUUGGUCGGGCUUCACUGUCCGCACUGGCCUGAUGGAUUCCUACCUUCUGAAUAACCAGCAUGCUAUUAAGUUAGUGCGUUGGGGAAGCAGAGCUAUUACCUUGAAAAAAUUAGAGUGCUUAAAGCAGGCUUAUGCUUGAAUAGAUUAGCAUGGAAUAAUAAAAUAGGACGGCAUGGUUCUAUUUUGUUGGUUUCUAGGAUCACCGUAAUGAUUAAUAGGGAUAGUUGGGGGCAUUAGUAUUCAAUUGUCAGAGGUGAAAUUCUUGGAUUUAUUGAAGACUAACUUCUGCGAAAGCAUUUGCCAAGGAUGUUUUCAUUAAUCAAGAACGAAAGUUAGGGGAUCGAAGACGAUCAG
RNAcentral lists this ribosomal RNA (636 nucleotides) under uncultured Glomeromycotina. Its description in RNAcentral is "SSU rRNA". It matches the Rfam family "Eukaryotic small subunit ribosomal RNA", at positions 373 to 1011 of the family's 1831-position model. Lineage: Eukaryota; Fungi; Glomeromycota. The record is from RNAcentral.